AUUGGUAUGAAUGAAAAGGGAAUCUGGUGAGAAUCCAGAACGAAGCCGUCACUGUGUCAGGGAGUUUGUAUUCAGGUCACUGAGUGUUUACUUGGGAAGAGAAUACAAAUGAUGAUCGAAGUCAGGAGACCUGCCUAUUCUUAA
This 144-nucleotide non-coding RNA is filed under the name uncultured Pseudobutyrivibrio sp. Lineage: Bacteria; Bacillati; Bacillota; Clostridia; Lachnospirales; Lachnospiraceae. The record is from RNAcentral.